Molecule: long non-coding RNA, 2543 nt
Organism: Amphiprion ocellaris (clown anemonefish)
Lineage: Eukaryota; Metazoa; Chordata; Actinopteri; Pomacentridae
Exons: 2
Source: RefSeq, a predicted model, not a curated record
GUAAGCGGAACUAUCCCCCACUUCUCUCCGUCUUAUAACUCUUCUAAACGUUUCCUCGUCUCUCGGGAUGUGUUUGAACCGGACUAGCUUUAGGUGGUAACCGGCGUCAGGGCGGCUCGGCUCCGGUUAGUUCGGCCUUGUUAGGCUUUAAUGUGAGUUUUUACUGUAGCUCGGACGGAGUUCACAGCGAGGGCGUGGACUCGACACGACAGCGGUGGCCGGUAGGAAUGUUACACGAGGAUACCUAACAAAAGCUAACUAGCUUUGUGCGGAGCCUGGCGGUCUGCUGCUGAGCAAUGCGGAAGACACACUGUCACCGGAGAAACACGACAGACAGCCCCCCGUCUGCACCGAAAUGUGUCCGAGUUUUGCUUCAGUGCCGCCGAAGUGUCCUCUUACAGGAGUCCGUGCUAGCUAGUUUUGGCGUCGACGUUCCCGUUAGUGGACGCUGCUUGUUAGCGACAGCACGGAUUCGCCACGUUGUUUAAGUGGAAGUUAAGUCACCGAGUGUGUUAUUAAGUCACUGAAAACUGUAGUUCAUGGUCAGUAUACUCGCUUUUAAGUCCUUUAGAAUUCGUCGCUCUUGUUAAAAAUCAUCCACUGCACAUAUAUAUGAACAUAAGUUAUGUAAAGUGUAAGUUACAUUAGGCCUCCCAUAAAGCAGUGGACUAACAUUAGUGUAGGCCUGCUGUUCACUGUAAACCAUCACUGCUUUGGUUUGUGACACACAGACACCUGACUCCACCCAGUUUGUGUUCACAUUAACAGUCUUUACAGGUGACUUUUUACAAAUCAAGCUUAUUGUUUAAGCAAUAUCUAUGAAAUGGAUUAAAUAACUGAUUCUUUGCAGGACAUUACUUUGUUACAGCAGUUACAGUGAAGAACCCACAUCUAAAACUGAGCAUUAUUUUUUAUCCAGCAUAAUAAUAUUCACAGAAAUACUAAUAGUGUACUGAAGACUUGAAGCGUGGUAUUAGAGAUAUUUGUAAUAUGUAAUGUGAAAAAUAUCUAGUCGUUGGAAAAAAUAAAAUAGAAUCAACAAAUACAGUUCAACAUAAAACUUCACUGAGCCCUGAGGGGAAAUUCACAAGCUGCCCUGCAGAUGAACUAUAUAAAGUAGAUCAAUCAUGUUUCCCAACUCCAAUCUUCAAGCCAUGAACUCAUUAUUGCAAUGAUAAUCAUAUACAAUAAUAUGCAUUGUUCUGAAAUAUGUCAUUCUCUACUCUUGGUACUUUAGAUUUGAUUCUAAUACUUUGUUCUUUUACUUAAGUAUAUGUGCUGAUGUGUGAACUUGUGGUAAAGUGUUUCUACAAUAUGGUUCAGGUACCUGUACUUAAGUAUAAGGUCAGUGUACUUUUUUCACCUCUGGAGACAUAUUAACUACCAAAAGUUACAUAAUUCUAGCAUGUGGAAAUGCAGAAAACUGCAGUUCAUGGUCUCUAUAGUCGCAUCUGUCUCCCUUAGAGUUUAUGAAUUACAUGACUAAAUUAUUAUUUACAUAUAUAAAUAACAUUAGGCCUGUUUUACUCCUAACUUAAAGCCAUUAGUGCUUUUAUUUGCGACAUACAAACAGGCCAGACACUGGAGAUUACUGUAUGACACUGUAGACAGAUAUCUUGAAUUAGAGUUUUGACCAGUUGAAAUGGUAUUACAGAGACGAAGGUGGCUUUUCAAACAAACUAUAAACUGCAGUGCAACUGUGCUAAAACCCCCCCCAAAGUUUUUACCGAACAUUUCUAAAGAAUGGGAGACCUGCGAAUGUUCUGAGUCCAUUCAGACAUUGUCAUGGCUUCACAGUUGUGUCUGCUGACAAAAAAUUUACCAAAUGCUGCAAAUUUUCACCACAAGUCUCCAAUGAACGAAACUCUUCUUCUCUACAAAGUCAUUGCUGAUGAGCUCUUUGGAUUUCAUACACUUUCUAACAUGUACAGCGACUCCAUUACUUCUGCAAACACUGUUCACAUUCCUUACAGGACCAAUAUCCCAUGGGAAGCUUCUCUUGAGCAUCAUCAUGCACAACAAUUCGGACUAGCUACAAUGACGCUUGAAAUAUCUGCAACUAUUUUUUUCACUUGUCAAAACAGAAUUACAAAUAUCUGUAAUUUUGACUGGUCGGAAUGAGGAUAGAGACAUGAAUACAAACUCAGACUAGUAACAGUAUUGGUAUGACCAGACCAAAUUAUGUUUUUAAUUCAGGAUUCUGCUUUCAGACUGUAACAAAACACAUCAUCAUUCUUAUUUAUAUUUCUUUUUGGCGAGAAAGAUAUUGAAAUGUUACAGUCCUCACUAAAAUUGUGACAUGUUGCUGUAUCAGUCUAAAUUACGAAUUAAAGACUUAAGUUGUGUACUGUAUUAUGACCACUUACCGUGCAACAAGUUGCAGGAAACAGUUGAGCAUGGAGUGGCUCUCCUCCUCCUCCUUGAGAUAAAAAGUUAUUCACUUUGAUUGUCUUAGAAAAAUAAACCUGAUGUCCAAGCCCUGCUAAUCACAUAGCUCGUAUUCGCAACCAUUUGACCAAUAAAUAAAACCAUAACUAAAACCA